GCUGGGCACGGUGGCUCAUGCCUGUAAUCCCAGAACUUUGGGAGGCUGAGGCGGGAGGAUCACCUGAGGUCAGGAGUUUGAGACCAGCCUGGCCAACACGGUGAAACCCUGUCUCUU
This 117-nucleotide non-coding RNA is filed under the name Nomascus leucogenys (northern white-cheeked gibbon). The record is from Rfam by way of RNAcentral. Lineage: Eukaryota; Metazoa; Chordata; Mammalia; Primates; Hylobatidae.